This 311-nucleotide ribosomal RNA is filed under the name uncultured bacterium. RNAcentral describes it as "bacterial SSU rRNA". It matches the Rfam family "Bacterial small subunit ribosomal RNA", at positions 527 to 836 of the family's 1533-position model. The record is from RNAcentral.
GUAGGUGGCGAGCGUUAUCCGGAAUGAUUGGGCGUAAAGGGUGCGUAGGUGGCAGAACAAGUCUGGAGUAAAAGGUAUGGGCUCAACCCGUACUGGCUCUGGAAACUGUUCAGCUAGAGAACAGAAGAGGACGGCGGAACUCCAUGUGUAGCGGUAAAAUGCGUAGAUAUAUGGAAGAACACCGGUGGCGAAGGCGGCCGUCUGGUCUGUUGCUGACACUGAAGCACGAAAGCGUGGGGAGCAAAUAGGAUUAGAUACCCUAGUAGUCCACGCCGUAAACGAUGAGAACUAGGUGUUGGGGGAAUAACAGA